RNAcentral lists this long non-coding RNA (4093 nucleotides) under Volvox carteri. RNAcentral describes it as "long non-coding RNA (VCAR_LNC000014)". The record is from RNAcentral. Lineage: Eukaryota; Viridiplantae; Chlorophyta; Chlorophyceae; Chlamydomonadales; Volvocaceae.
ACCAAUUCAUGCAUCUACGGUUCAGUCUGCAUUUAAGUGCAAGCAAGAGAUGAUGCUGGCGCUGAUUUAAAUCCAUCCAGUCUAGUUUACGCUGACCAGGUUCAGCUUCUGUCCGGUGGUGGGCAGAGCCGUGCCCUUGUUGUCCGCAGCCUGCACCCCGUCGGGGGUAUCGGUGUUGACCACGUUGAGCGUUUUGCCGUUGGCCAGCUUGACCUGCGCAACCUUGAUGUACGCAGACGCCUCAGUGGGCAUGAAGCUCAAGCCUUGCGCGCUCAGCUUGCCGCUCACAGUGAUCCACUGCUCCGUACGCUGUUCCAAAGCCUGGGCAACGUCCUUGGCCUGCUUGUCGUAGUGUGCAUUGGCGUUGCGCGUCUUUUCAACCUCCGUCUUGUCAUAUGAGGCGCCCAGGUGCACACCGAACCAGCUGAGGACAGGUACGUUGAAGCCACCAUCGUAGUGCUGCUUCGCUUCCUUGUAGGUGGAUUUCUCGUCCUCGCUCAUGUUUUGGACCAGCUUGGAUUCCAUGUCCGAAAUCUGGCCACAGGUCACGGCCCGCAUAGUCAUCGUGAACGUCAACUCGGCCCAUGCACCCUUCUGAACUAUGACACCCGCGGAACCCGUGGUUGCAUAACCGGUCUGGAAAUCCUUCACCACGCCCUGCAUCUCCUCGCUUGCGGUAAGGGGAAGAGACAGCAGGCGCAGCUUCUGGCCGACAAUACCCCCCAUGUAGUACUUGCUUGUCCUGCCGUCUCCGGCCCCGGCAGGUUCAACUGUCCGGGUGGGGUCGACCACCAAGCCCGAAUGCUUGCUAGGCACGCACACCGCUGCGGGGAAGCAUAUGCAGUAGUAGGCAGGGACAUUAGGCUGGGGAACAACAGGCAUGCAUGUGCGUUGUGUUGGCCAUAUAAAAUUAUUGCUUUUUACGUGUUUACGUUUUUGGCAGCUGUAGAUGCUACGACACACAAGCCUUGGAGCCAAAAGUUAGGUAUACACACACCCCGCGCAUCACGUGAACACCUUGCGUGGCCGCCGCCAGCAGACGACACGCAUUUAUCAUUCAGAGGAAUCAAACUGAUGCGCUUUGCAUCUUGUGUAAGUGAUACUAGCAAUUUACAUCUGUACUUACGCUUCUCCACCACAAGCCCGAGCUUCUUGAGCAGCUCGAUGGUCGCGCCAUUCUCCUCCAUCUUCGUGAUGGUCCACCCAUCCGAGCGCUCGUGAUAGUCGUACGGCAGGUAGCCGUACCCUGCGUCACCCCAGCUCGCGCCCCAGGAGUUGCGGAACUUGAAUCGCUUCUUGGCAUCAUCGUAGCCCACAAACAAGACGCAAUGGCCACCGAUGCGGUCACCCUUGGGCGUCUUAAUGACGCCAGUGGACUGUACAUCGUCGUCGUACAAAUUCUCAUAGCAUGUAAAACCCGCCACGACAGGCAUGCCGGCGGCGAUGGCGACCUUCAUAGAGCGGGUGUCUGUGCCUACACGUGCGCUCCUCAAGACCUGGAAGUCAAGGGCUUUUUCGAAGGCGGCCUGCGAGGGCUCCUCGCUAAACGGGACAUUGCCCCGAGUGCCGUACGGGCACAGCUCCUGCACAUUUACACAGGUACGUGCUUCGUCAACACAAUUGAUUAAGAACAGCCGAACGCAAUUGCCUGGCAUCCAGCCGGCAAUUUAUCAUUUGCAAACAAUUUUGUCAUCAAUUGCCAUCCAUUUUAGAUGAAUUGUGACGCACCCACGCAUCGGCUAUCGUGCACAUCUGCCCAUAGAAUUGGUUGCGUAGUUUCAUGUAAAAGGGCCGCAAGCACACAUAACCCUGCAUGUAAGCACGCGCAGGACCGCGUGCGGUGACCACCCACCUCAGGCGCAGCACCAAAUUCUUUCAGGGCCGCCAUAGCCGAUGAGGUGUAGGUACCCGUGUCCUCAUCGGGGCUGUUGUGGUCGAUCGCAACGCGUGCACAGUAAUACACGAACCUCGGUGACAGCUCUAUGGGGAUGAUACGGUGGGUGCGCACCACGUAGUCCAUGGCCGCUGUGGAGGCGAAGGCCACACAGGCGCCCACGUCAUACUGGUUACGUUUCACGGGCCAGUUCUGGGCGAGGUCCUUGGAGGGAGGCAGCGGUUCGGUAGGUCCAGCAGCAAGCUUCAGCUUGGGAUACUCCGCCAGCUGAUGUUCCGGCUGGGGCUUGAAGUUAAGCUUGAACUGGCGGACUGACAUCUUGCUUGAUUAAUUGCUUGAAUGUAGCCUGUUCGUCUUUCUGUUGUCGUCGACAACAGCAGUUGAAGCGGUACAAGUUGUACUCAACGCAAUCAGGGCCUGGGAUUCAGAAGCAGAACACUUUGCUUAGGUUUAUGCUUUAACUUGCAGCUGCUUAUAUAUGGGGAGAGCGCCCGCCAAGCUGUCAGAAAUCGUACCUUUGCUGCCUGGCAUGAGCUCGAAGUUUCGUUUGUUAACUAACCCGUUUUGGAUGGCCGACCAGUUUUUGUCGUAUUUGACCUUCAGAGAGCCCAACGUACUCCGCAUCCUCUACGCAUGUAUGUAAAAAGUCAAAGUCAAUUCGGCGUUACUGCGCAGGCAAGUAGUAGCAUGUAGUAAUCGACAAGCGCACAACAGAAGUAAUACCAUGCACGGGACGGCAUGCGGCCUCAAAGGGAUCGCCGCCCACCUACCGCGCCGAUGUGUCGCUUUUACUUCCAGUUGGCUUCAUUCUUGCGUAAAGCACUUAACUUCAGUCCACUUACCCAGAAAUAUUUCCCGCUCUCUCCGCUUCCGUCGGUGUUCCUGCAAUUCGGCGGGCUUUUCGUUGGAACAUGGACACCUACAUGCAUGCGCAACUUCAUUAAUGCGUUUAUGUGUUUUAUGUAUACAUAUAUUUCUGUGUGAAACAUAAAUACUUCGGAAAUGCGAACAAAAGUGCUGCUAUUGACUGCAUAUGACGUAUGACAUUGUAUGAUCCUGUGCUAAGCGACCGGCGGAUCACUGCUCCGUCGCUCGGCUGUAUCCUGACGCGAUUAGUAUAUAAAUUACUACAAAAAAGAGCACGAAACUGAAUAAGCGGUUACGUGCUAUUGCAUUGAAUUACACAGGACAGAUAGGCUGCUAGCGGGCUGCGCUGGUUGGCUUAUUACGGCUUAUUUGCAAUCCUGUGACGAUAAUGCGUAUGUGUGUAGCAGGCCGCAAGGAAGGCAGCGGUAGUUGCUGUUAAACAGGUCUGCCUUGUUAAGGGAACUGGUGAGGGAACUGCAAGCAAUCGUUGUGUGAGUUUAUUUUGGAAUACAUUCAUUCCAAGAAAAAAAAGCUUGAUCCGCGGACCUACCUAGGUAUAUAUAGAUAUAUCUGGUGGAUACUAAAGCCGGCAAGCUAUAAAAUCUGAAUCGCAAAUGUGUGGACCUGAUAUAUGCAUUAGCCUUGACUGGCUUCAUUACAUUUUCAAAAAGUACAUAAAUUUAUUUCUCAUAUCGUGUAUGCGCCAUUGCUUUGGGCUGGGACAGAACGAUUCUGCUGCCUCCCUGUGCCGACUGUGCCGAGGUCAUUAAUUCGUAACAUUCCGACCUGAUUAAUGCAUUUCGUUGAAUGCGUUGCAUGCAUGCUGAAAAUAUAAUUUUUUUUCUAUCUGAAAAACCCUAAUUACACCACAACGGAUCCAUUUGAAACCAAGAUGUGUGUGUGGUGGUGUGUGGUGGUGUGUGGUGGUGUGUGGUGGUGUGUGGUGGUGUGUGGUUGUUACAGUGGGCUCCAGACUCAAGAAGAUGUGCACGGUGGCAACACCACCCACUCCUCAUUCACGCACGUCAGGAGGUCAGCAGUGCGUGGCUAUAGGGUUACCAGGCGACUUCUAUCUCCCGAUUCAUCCAUCCCAUACAAUUACUAUGAUCCAUCAGAUACUUCAGAGCCCAUCGAUUCAUGGAUUGGCGGUUCUGUUAGUCUGCAUUUAAGCGCAAGCAGAAGAUGACGCCGGCGCUGAUCUAAAUCCAUCCAGCCUAAUUUACGCUGAUCAGGUUCAGCUUCUGUCCGGUGGUGGGCAGAGCCGUGCCCCUGUUGUCCGCAGCCUGCACCCCGUCGGGGGUAUCGGUGUUGACCACGUUGAGCGAUUUGCCG